CCCAUUCCCUGGACCUCUGGGAUCACCUAAGCGCCAAAUUCGACCUAUCUACUGGCCUAUCGCCCCUCACCCCAAUCCUCCGCAAUAAAAUGUUCCCACCUGGCCUUACUCCCAGGCACUAUGCUCACUUCGAAGACAGAGACAUAGUUAGACUAGGACACCUUUACCCCAAUGGUAAACUCCUCCAAUACGCAGAGGUUCCUAAUCCGGAAUCCUUAAACACCCAUGACUACUAUCGAUACCUCCAACUCCGUAGUUUUGCAACAUCAGACACGGUUCGCUUGGCAGCCACCUCGGCCCUGACAAGAUUUGAAAGGGACACCCUCAACUCACCGGCCAGAAAGAGCCAAAUCUCAAGCCUUUACACAUCCCUAACCACACAUCACACCCAAAUAGCACUCCCAUACAUCGCAGCAUGGGAGAGUGACUUGGGACCCCCUGAAGACACCUCUGACUGGGCAGACAUCUGGAUAGCUACCAAAUCCAUCUCCACCUGUGUAACCC
Non-coding RNA from Pelobates cultripes (western spadefoot toad), 504 nucleotides. Lineage: Eukaryota; Metazoa; Chordata; Amphibia; Anura; Pelobatidae. The record is from the annotation of a GenBank genome assembly.